UCUCUCUGAAUCUGCGAACGGCUCCGCAAACCAGUUGUAAACUAUAGCAAGCCAGCUCGGGUUCGGGCUUCACGGCUCGGGCUCGAGUGAUACGGAUACCCCUGGUAAUUCUGAGGCUAAUACGAGAACGUAACCCCUGGCUGACCGGGCAACUGGGAGGCUGGGGAACGUGCGACUAUAUCACGGAACAACCAGGAAGGGGCGCACGUUCGGACCGCGCUACAAAGGAUGGGGUCGCAGACCUUCGGGAAAGCGGCUUCGCCCCAGCGGCUCUUGCGUUGUGCUUCUGACCUAUCAACUAGAUGGCAGCCUAACGGACAUGCUAUGGUUACAACGGGUACAGAGGAUUAGGGUUCGAUCCUGGAGAGUGGGCCUGAGAGAUU
RNAcentral lists this ribosomal RNA (383 nucleotides) under Diachea leucopodia. RNAcentral's name for it is "SSU rRNA". It matches the Rfam family "Eukaryotic small subunit ribosomal RNA", at positions 76 to 405 of the family's 1831-position model. The record is from RNAcentral. Lineage: Eukaryota; Evosea; Eumycetozoa; Stemonitida; Stemonitidae.